GAGGGUAUAGCUCAAGUGGUGGAGCACACACUUAGAAUGCAUGACGUCCUGGGUUCAAUUCCCAGCACCUCCU
RNAcentral lists this transfer RNA (73 nucleotides) under Camelus bactrianus (Bactrian camel). It matches the Rfam family "tRNA". From Rfam's summary of the family: Transfer RNA (tRNA) molecules are approximately 80 nucleotides in length. Their secondary structure includes four short double-helical elements and three loops (D, anti-codon, and T loops). Further hydrogen bonds mediate the characteristic L-shaped molecular structure. tRNAs have two regions of fundamental functional importance: the anti-codon, which is responsible for specific mRNA codon recognition, and the 3' end, to which the tRNAs corresponding amino acid is attached (by aminoacyl-tRNA synthetases). tRNAs cope with the degeneracy of the genetic code in two manners: having more than one tRNA (with a specific anti-codon) for a particular amino acid; and 'wobble' base-pairing, i.e. permitting non-standard base-pairing at the 3rd anti-codon position. RNAcentral also lists the same sequence under 2 other names. Lineage: Eukaryota; Metazoa; Chordata; Mammalia; Artiodactyla; Camelidae. The record is from Rfam by way of RNAcentral.